RNAcentral lists this ribosomal RNA (650 nucleotides) under uncultured Glomus. Its description in RNAcentral is "SSU rRNA". It matches the Rfam family "Eukaryotic small subunit ribosomal RNA", at positions 624 to 1276 of the family's 1831-position model. Lineage: Eukaryota; Fungi; Glomeromycota; Glomeromycetes; Glomerales; Glomeraceae. The record is from RNAcentral.
AAGCUCGUAGUUGAAUUUCGGGAUCAAAUUGUCGGUCGUGCCUCGGUACGUACUGGCGUUAUUGGUUCCUCCCUUCUGAAGAACCACGAUGUCAUUAAUUUGGUGUCGCGGGGAAUCAGGACUGUUACUUUGAAGAAAUUAGAGUGUUUAAAGCAGGCUCGCGCUUGAAUACAUUAGCAUGGAAUAAUGAAAUAGGACGUUUGAUUCUAUUUUGUUGGUUUCUAGGAUCGACGUAAUGAUUAAUAGGGAUAGUUGGGGGCAUUAGUAUUCAAUUGUCAGAGGUGAAAUUCUUGGAUUUAUUGAAGACUAACUACUGCGAAAGCAUUUGCCAAGGAUGUUUUCAUUAAUCAAGAACGAAAGUUAGGGGAUCGAAGACGAUCAGAUACCGUCGUAGUCUUAACCAUAAACUAUGCCGACUAGGGAUCGGAUGAUGUUAAUUUUUUAAUGACUCAUUCGGCGCCUUACGGGAAACCAAAGUGUUUGGGUUCCGGGGGGAGUAUGGUCGCAAAGCUGAAACUUAAAGGAAUUGACGGAAGGGCACCACCAGGGGUGGAGCCUGCGGCUUAAUUUGACUCAACACGGGGAAACUCACCAGGUCCAGACAUAGUAAGGAUUGACAGAUUGAGAGCUCUUUCUUGAUUCUAUGGGUG